UACGGGGGGGGCAAGCGUUGUUCGGAAUUACUGGGCGUAAAGGGCUCGUAGGCGGCCAACUAAGUCAGACGUGAAAUCCCUCGGCUUAACCGGGGAACUGCGUCUAAUACUGGAUGGCUUGAGUGUGGGAGAGGGAUGCGGAAUUCCAGGUGUAGCGGUGAAAUGCGUAGAUAUCUGGAGGAACACCGGUGGCGAAGGCGGCAUCCUGGACCACGACUGACGCUGAGUGAGCGAAAGCCAGGGGAGCAAACGGG
This 254-nucleotide ribosomal RNA is filed under the name uncultured bacterium. Its description in RNAcentral is "partial 16S ribosomal RNA". It matches the Rfam family "Bacterial small subunit ribosomal RNA", at positions 524 to 776 of the family's 1533-position model. The record is from RNAcentral.